RNAcentral lists this long non-coding RNA (394 nucleotides) under Gossypium raimondii (Peruvian cotton). Its description in RNAcentral is "long non-coding RNA (GRAI_LNC007293)". Lineage: Eukaryota; Viridiplantae; Streptophyta; Magnoliopsida; Malvales; Malvaceae. The record is from RNAcentral.
GACUCGAAGGGAAGAAAUAUUACCUUUGAUGGGUAAGACUGCAUCUAUUCCAUAUACCAAUGAGAAAUGAGUUGCCCCGGUGAGGUCUUUUCUUUUAUUUUUGGUCUUUUUUUAUUUUUUUACUUUUUUUAUUUUUUUGUUUUUUUUGUUUUUUUGCCUCCACUGAGUCGUUCAUUUUGGGGCGACAUGGUGUUAAUCUUGAACAGACUGCAAACUUCUGAUGUCGUGCGGUUGUUCAAAUUCAAUGCAUUGUCUAAUAUGAUCCUUUUUGGCAUUCCAUAUUGACAUAUGAUUCUUCAAGAAAAUUACUGAUUGUCUACUUUGUGAUAUUGACAUAUGAAACAACUUCUACCCACUUUAUGCAGUAAUUGAUGACCACAAAGAUGAAUCGAUA